GACGAACGCUGGCGGCGUGCUUAACACAUGCAAGUCGAGCGGUAAGGCCCUUUCGGGGGUACACGAGCGGCGAACGGGUGAGUAACACGUGGGUGACCUGCCCUCAGCUCUGGGAUAAGCCCGGGAAACUGGGUCUAAUACCGGAUAUGACUCCAUGACGCAUGUUGUGGGGUGGAAAGCCUUGUGCGGCUGAGGAUGGGCCCGCGGCCUAUCAGCUUGUUGGUGGGGUGAUGGCCUACCAAGGCGACGACGGGUAGCCGGCCUGAGAGGGCGACCGGCCACACUGGGACUGAGACACGGCCCAGACUCCUACGGGAGGCAGCAGUGGGGAAUCUUGCGCAAUGGGCGAAAGCCUGACGCAGCGACGCCGCGUGAGGGAUGACGGCCUG
RNAcentral lists this ribosomal RNA (389 nucleotides) under uncultured bacterium. RNAcentral's name for it is "bacterial SSU rRNA". It matches the Rfam family "Bacterial small subunit ribosomal RNA", at positions 28 to 418 of the family's 1533-position model. The record is from RNAcentral.